AGCAGGAAAGCAGGGGAUCGCAAGACCUUGCGCUGAUUGAGCGGCCGAUAUCAGAUUAGCUUGUUGGUGAGGUAAAAGCUCACCAAGGCGACGAUCCGUAGCGGGUCUGAGAGGAUGAUCCGCCACACUGGAACUGAGACACGGUCCAGACUCCUACGGGAGGCAGCAGUGGGGAAUUUUGGACAAUGGGGGCAACCCUGAUCCAGCCAUGCCGCGUGAGUGAAGAAGGCCUUCGGGUUGUAAAGCUCUUUCAGCCGGGAAGAAAACGCAUGGGUUAAUACCCUGUGUGGAUGACGGUACCGGAAUAAGAAGCACCGGCUAACUACGUGCCAGCAGCCGCGGUAAUACGUAGGGUGCGAGCGUUAAUCGGAAUUACUGGGCGUAAAGCGUGCGCAGGCGGUUUUGUAAGACAGGCGUGAAAUCCCCGGGCUUAACCUGGGAACUGCGUUUGUGACUGCAAGGCUAGAGUACGGCAGAGGGGGGUGGAAUUCCACGUGUAGCAGUGAAAUGCGUAGAGAUGCGGAGGAACACCAAUGGCGAAGGCAGCCCCCUGGGUCGAUACUGACGCUCAUGCACGAAAGCGUGGGUAGCAAACAGGAUUAGAUACCCUGGUAGUCCACGCCCUAAACGAUGUCAACUAGGUGUUGGGAGGGUAAAACCUUUUAGUACCGGAGCUAACGCGUGAAGUUGACCGCCUGGGGAGUACGGCCGCAAGGUUAAAACUCAAAGGAAUUGACGGGGACCCGCACAAGCGGUGGAUGAUGUGGAUUAAUUCGAUGCAACGCGAAAAACCUUACCUACCCUUGACAUGCCAAGAACUUUCCAGAGAUGGAUUGGUGCCCGAAAGGGAACUUGGACACAGGUGCUGCAUGGCUGUCGUCAGCUCGUGUCGUGAGAUGUUGGGUUAAGUCCCGCAACGAGCGCAACCCUUGUCGUUAAUUGCCAUCAUUUAGUUGGGCACUUUAACGAGACUGCCGGUGACAAACCGGAGGAAGGUGGGGAUGACGUCAAGUCCUCAUGGCCCUUAUGGGUAGGGCUUCACACGUCAUACAAUGGUCGGUACAAAGGGUCGCCAAGCCGCGAGGUGGAGCCAAUCCCAGAAAGCCGAUCGUAGUCCGGAUCGCAGUCUGCAACUCGACUGCGUGAAGUCGGAAUCGCUAGUAAUCGUGGAUCAGAAUGUCACGGUGAAUACGUUCCCGGGUCUUGUACACACCGCCCGUCACACCAUGGGAGCGGGUUCCGCCAGAAGUAGGUAGCCUAACCGCAAGGAGGGCGCUUACCACGGCGGGGUUCGUGACUGGGGUGAAGUCGUAACGAGGUA
This 1321-nucleotide ribosomal RNA is filed under the name metagenome. Its description in RNAcentral is "bacterial SSU rRNA". It matches the Rfam family "Bacterial small subunit ribosomal RNA", at positions 197 to 1498 of the family's 1533-position model. The record is from RNAcentral.